This 459-nucleotide ribosomal RNA is filed under the name uncultured bacterium. RNAcentral describes it as "partial 16S ribosomal RNA". It matches the Rfam family "Bacterial small subunit ribosomal RNA", at positions 338 to 795 of the family's 1533-position model. The record is from RNAcentral.
CCUACGGGCGGCAGCAGUGAGGAAUAUUGGUCAAUGGGCGGAAGCCUGAACCAGCCAAGUAGCGUGCGGGAUGAAGGCCCUACGGGUUGUAAACCGCUUUUGCACGGGGAUAACACCCUCCACUUGUGGAGGUCUGCAUGUACCGUGCGAAUAAGGGCCGGCUAAUUCCGUGCCAGCAGCCGCGGUAAUACGGAAGGCCCGGGCGUUAUCCGGAUUCAUUGGGCUUAAAGGGAGCGUAGGCGGGCGUUCAAGUCAGCUGUAAAAUCGCGCGGCUCAACCGCGCCCCGCAGUUGAAACUGGACGCCUUGAGUGCACAACAGGCAGGCGGAAUUCGUGGUGUAGCGGUGAAAUGCAUAGAUAUCACGAGGAACCCCGAUUGCGAAGGCAGCCUGCCGGGGUGCGACUGACGCUGAGGCUCGAAGGUGCGGGUAUCAAACAGGAUUAGAUACCCCAGUAGUC